UUGUGCCCAAACAAGAGAGGCUCACAAGCACAUGGCACCGACGGUAGUACAUUGCCCUAGACAUGUGCGGUUGUGCCUUCCUUCCAUCAAGAGAAAGACGUCAAAUUCUCUCCCAUCUCCAGUUCUCCAUGACCGCCUUUCGCACAUUUCAGUUUCAGCACCUUCAGAACUAAAGAAUAAAUUCGCGUGCUUUCCCUGCCAUCCCGCAGUGCCAUAUCGUUUCAAGGAGGAUGCUGCUCGGCAAAAAAUUAGUACCUGCUGCUGAGGCACUAUGAAUGAAGUUCAUGUCAUAACACAAGGCAGGAGAAUCAAUCCGCGGACGAAAUAAUCGCAAUGGCUGCUGGCUGGGGCACUAUGAAUUUUC
This 364-nucleotide long non-coding RNA is filed under the name Oryza sativa (Asian cultivated rice). RNAcentral describes it as "long non-coding RNA (OSAT_LNC000473)". The record is from RNAcentral. Lineage: Eukaryota; Viridiplantae; Streptophyta; Magnoliopsida; Poales; Poaceae.